This 931-nucleotide ribosomal RNA is filed under the name Psychrobacter sp. 642M-3. RNAcentral's name for it is "bacterial SSU rRNA". It matches the Rfam family "Bacterial small subunit ribosomal RNA", at positions 49 to 968 of the family's 1533-position model. Lineage: Bacteria; Pseudomonadati; Pseudomonadota; Gammaproteobacteria; Moraxellales; Moraxellaceae. The record is from RNAcentral.
UUACACAUGCAAGUCGAGCGGUAACAGAGGAGGAAGCUUGCUUCCUACGGCUGACGAGCGGCGGACGGGUGAGUAAUACUUAGGAAUCUACCUAGUAGUGGGGGAUAGCUCGGGGAAACUCGAAUUAAUACCGCAUACGUCCUACGGGAGAAAGGGGGCAACUUGUUGCUCUCGCUAUUAGAUGAGCCUAAGUCGGAUUAGCUAGAUGGUGGGGUAAAGGCCUACCAAGGCGACGAUCUGUAGCUGGUCUGAGAGGAUGAUCAGCCACACCGGGACUGAGACACGGCCCGGACUCCUACGGGAGGCAGCAGUGGGGAAUAUUGGACAAUGGGGGCAACCCUGAUCCAGCCAUGCCGCGUGUGUGAAGAAGGCCUUUUGGUUGUAAAGCACUUUAAGCAGUGAAGAAGACCUAACGGUUAAUACCCGUUAGCGAUGACAUUAGCUGCAGAAUAAGCACCGGCUAACUCUGUGCCAGCAGCCGCGGUAAUACAGAGGGUGCAAGCGUUAAUCGGAAUUACUGGGCGUAAAGCGAGCGUAGGUGGCUUGAUAAGUCAGAUGUGAAAUCCCCGGGCUUAACCUGGGAACUGCAUCUGAUACUGUCAGGCUAGAAUAGGUGAGAGGAAGGUAGAAUUCCAGGUGUAGCGGUGAAAUGCGUAGAGAUCUGGAGGAAUACCGAUGGCGAAGGCAGCCUUCUGGCAUCAUAUUGACACUGAGGUUCGAAAGCGUGGGUAGCAAACAGGAUUAGAUACCCUGGUAGUCCACGCCGUAAACGAUGUCUACUAGUCGUUGGGUCCCUUGAGGACUUAGUGACGCAGCUAACGCAAUAAGUAGACCGCCUGGGGAGUACGGCCGCAAGGUUAAAACUCAAUGAAUUGACGGGGGCCCGCACAAGCGGUGGAGCAUGUGGUUUAAUUCGAUGCAACGCGAGGAC